AUGGGGAAGGAACGUUGUUGUUUGCGAGGUCUCGAUCAUUUACAUGGACCCACUUCUCAUUCCAUUUGUGGGAAUUUGAUGAUUUAUAAACCGUCCGCAACGAGCGAAAGGAUCAUGUUUGAACGUGAUGAAUCACUUCGUGCUGACCUGUUGCCCAUAAACUUUCCUGCCUCAUAUGAGAAUGGAAAACUGGAAGAUUUUCUGCAUCAGUGGAUGAAGAAUCACGAACAUAAGAAUUUCUGGUUUAGCAUGUUCCCAGAAAGAAGAUACUUUUUUUCCAUUCAAGAAACGAGGAGCACGACUGAAGUGGCUAUACAUACAAAUCCAUUUACGGAUCUAUAUGCUCCGAUUGGAACUGGAAGUUCCAGAACUGGCGGCUGGAUA
This 384-nucleotide ribosomal RNA is filed under the name Triticum aestivum (bread wheat). Its description in RNAcentral is "partial small subunit ribosomal RNA". The record is from RNAcentral. Lineage: Eukaryota; Viridiplantae; Streptophyta; Magnoliopsida; Poales; Poaceae.